UGAAGAAUCUGGGUUUUCUAGAUUUGUUCUUCACGUAGACUGGUCAACCUACUUUGACCUUGUAUAACUUUGAUUCUUUUAAGCAUCUGGGUGAUCUAAAGGCUUAGAUGUAUCGCCUAUAUGUAAGUCUAUAAGCCCCAAACAACAAUAUAACAAAAAACAUUAAACACAGUAAGGUCUAAGGCUUGCAAAACGUUGUCAGAAAUUCUGGGUUUCUGGGUUUACCCAGAUUUCCAGUUUUUUGUGAUCGGUCAAUGUCCUUUGACUGCUUAUAUCUAUCAAUCAACACAUGAUCUAACCCUGUUUCCAGGUUCAGAUCAUAGUCCACAUGGCAUAGAACAAAUAUAUAACAUAAAACAACACAAAGCAAAAACAGAGAAGGAUCUAGGGCCUUUGACAUUCGGCUGUCAGACAAUAUUUUAGCGUUCAUAGUCAGUUUCUAAAAACCCAAUUUCUUGCAUCUAGAUGUUAUGGAUCUAGGAUCUAACAACCAAGAUCACUAAAUGACAUCCUAUAACACAACUCUAACCAAUAAACAAAAACAUCUAACAUCAGAUCAUAAGAUUUUGAAGAUUUAGGGUUUAUACAAUUUUCAUGCUUUGAUCUUGAAUCUGAUCAUCAUGAUCUGAUCUUGGGAUGCGAACACAUGAUCAUGGCAUAUCUUAUAACUCAAUCUCACUCUACAAAUUUCAGAUUUUAGAGAGAGAAUGAUCUAGGUUCAUAAAAGAAAUAAAGUAAGUCUUUUCCUCUCUCUCUAAUCUAUAUAUGAAAUGAUGCAUUGUAUAUUGGCUGAUAAAAAGGCAUAUUGUUGGGAUUUUUAUCUAAUGGGAGACUUUAG
This 838-nucleotide long non-coding RNA is filed under the name Panax ginseng (ginseng). RNAcentral describes it as "long non-coding RNA (PGIN_LNC001162)". Lineage: Eukaryota; Viridiplantae; Streptophyta; Magnoliopsida; Apiales; Araliaceae. The record is from RNAcentral.